AUUGAACGCUGGCGGCAUGCUCUACACAUGCAAGUCGAACGGUAACAGGCCGCAAGGUGCUGACGGGUGGCGAACGGGUGAGUAAUGCAUCGGAACGUGCCCAGUCGUGGGGGAUAACUACUCGAAAGAGUAGCUAAUACCGCAUACGAUCUAUGGAUGAAAGCGGGGGACCGUAAGGCCUCGCGCGAUUGGAGCGGCCGAUGUCAGAUUAGGUAGUUGGUGGGGUAAAGGCUCACCAAGCCAACGAUCUGUAGCUGGUCUGAGAGGACGACCAGCCACACUGGGACUGAGACACGGCCCAGACUCCUACGGGAGGCAGCAGUGGGGAAUUUUGGACAAUGGGCGCAAGCCUGAUCCAGCAAUGCCGCGUGCAGGAAGAAGGCCUUCGGGUUGUAAACUGCUUUUGUACGGAACGAAACGGCUCUGGUUAAUACCCGGGGCUAAUGACGGUACCGUAAGAAUAAGCACCGGCUAACUACGUG
This 482-nucleotide ribosomal RNA is filed under the name uncultured bacterium. RNAcentral's name for it is "partial 16S ribosomal RNA". It matches the Rfam family "Bacterial small subunit ribosomal RNA", at positions 30 to 507 of the family's 1533-position model. The record is from RNAcentral.